RNAcentral lists this small RNA (562 nucleotides) under Pan troglodytes (chimpanzee). RNAcentral's name for it is "processed transcript". The record is from RNAcentral. Lineage: Eukaryota; Metazoa; Chordata; Mammalia; Primates; Hominidae.
GCGUUCGCCGCCUGGGUUGUCACCGGCGCCGCCGCCGAGGAAGCCACUGCAACCAGGACCGGAGUGGAGGCGGCGCAGCAUGAAGCGGCGCAGGCCCGCUCCAUAGCGCACGUCGGGACGGUCCGGGCGGGGCCAGGGGGGAAGGAAAAUGCAACAUGGCAGCAGCAAUGGAAACAGAACAGCUGGGUGUUGAGAUAUUUGAAACUGCGGACUGUGAGGAGAAUAUUGAAUCACAGGAUCGGCCUAAAUUGGAGCCUUUUUAUGUUGAGCGGUAUUCCUGGAGUCAGCUUAAAAAGCUGCUUGCCGAUACCAGAAAAUAUCAUGGCUACAUGAUGGCUAAGGCACCACAUGAUUUCAUGUUUGUGAAGAGGAAUGAUCCAGAUGGGCCUCAUUCAGACAGAAUCUAUUACCUUGGUAACAAGUCAUUAAUUGAUCAUGAUCGUUUUUCAAAAUCGAAGAUGCCAGAAAUUGCUUCUUCCUAAAGCUAGCUUGAAAUGCCUUUCUUUAGAUGGUCUGAUUAGGAAAACAAACAAUAAAACCAUUAGUUUGUUCCCACUCAACA